This 336-nucleotide ribosomal RNA is filed under the name uncultured eukaryote. RNAcentral describes it as "partial 18S ribosomal RNA". It matches the Rfam family "Eukaryotic small subunit ribosomal RNA", at positions 1470 to 1796 of the family's 1831-position model. The record is from RNAcentral.
CCCUUAGAUGUCCUGGGCCGCACGCGCGCUACACUGACGGAGCCAGCGAGCUUACCCCUUUGCCGAAAGGCAUGGGAAAUCUUUUGAAUCUCCGUCGUGCUGGGGAUAGAUCAUUGCAAUUAUUGAUCUUGAACGAGGAAUUCCUAGUAAGCGCAAGUCAUCAACUUGCGUUGAUUACGUCCCUGCCCUUUGUACACACCGCCCGUCGCUACUACCGAUCGGAUGGUUUAGUGAGACCCUCGGACUGGUCCCGCUGUCGGACAGGCAACUGUUUGCAGCGCGUGCGCCGGGAAGAAGGUCGAACUUGACUAUCUAGAGGAAGUAAAAGUCGUAACA